UACGUAGGGGGCUAGCGUUGUCCGGAAUCAUUGGGCGUAAAGCGCGCGUAGGCGGCCAGAUAAGUCCGGUGUGAAAGUCACAGGCUCAACCUGUGAAUGCCGCUGGAAACUGUCUGGCUUGAGUCCGGAAGGGGCGAGUGGGAUUCCUGGUGUAGCGGUGAAAUGCGCAGAUAUCAGGAGGAACACCAAUGGCGAAGGCAGCUCGCUGGAACGGUACUGACGCUGAGGCGCGAAAGCGUGGGGAGCGAACAGG
Molecule: ribosomal RNA, 253 nt
Filed under: uncultured bacterium
Lineage: Bacteria
Description: partial 16S ribosomal RNA
Rfam family: Bacterial small subunit ribosomal RNA
Source: RNAcentral